RNAcentral lists this transfer RNA (72 nucleotides) under Camelus bactrianus (Bactrian camel). It matches the Rfam family "tRNA". Rfam says of the family: Transfer RNA (tRNA) molecules are approximately 80 nucleotides in length. Their secondary structure includes four short double-helical elements and three loops (D, anti-codon, and T loops). Further hydrogen bonds mediate the characteristic L-shaped molecular structure. tRNAs have two regions of fundamental functional importance: the anti-codon, which is responsible for specific mRNA codon recognition, and the 3' end, to which the tRNAs corresponding amino acid is attached (by aminoacyl-tRNA synthetases). tRNAs cope with the degeneracy of the genetic code in two manners: having more than one tRNA (with a specific anti-codon) for a particular amino acid; and 'wobble' base-pairing, i.e. permitting non-standard base-pairing at the 3rd anti-codon position. RNAcentral also lists the same sequence under 1 other name. The record is from Rfam by way of RNAcentral. Lineage: Eukaryota; Metazoa; Chordata; Mammalia; Artiodactyla; Camelidae.
GUAGGCAUAGCUCAGUGGUAAAGCACAUGCUUAGCAUGCACAGGAUCCUGGGUUCAAUCCUCAGUACCUCCA